This 257-nucleotide ribosomal RNA is filed under the name uncultured bacterium. RNAcentral describes it as "partial 16S ribosomal RNA". It matches the Rfam family "Bacterial small subunit ribosomal RNA", at positions 524 to 776 of the family's 1533-position model. The record is from RNAcentral.
UACGUAGGGUGCAAGCGUUAAUCGGAAUUACUGGGCGUAAAGCGUACCGAUAGGUGGUUUUACAAGUCAGGAGUGAAAUCUCAAGGCUCAACUUUGAGACUGUCUCUUGAAACUGUACAACUAGAGGGGCAAAGAGGAAGCUGGAACGAACGGUGUAGUAGUGAAAUGCGUUGAUAUCGUUCGGAACACCGAUAGCGAAGGCAGGCUUCUGGGUGCCACCUGACACUGCUAGGACGAAAGCGUGGGGAGCGAAUGGG